GACGAACGCUGGCGGCGUGCUUAACACAUGCAAGUCGAACGGAAAGGCCCUGCUUUUGUGGGGUGCUCGAGUGGCGAACGGGUGAGUAACACGUGAGUAACCUGCCCUUGACUUUGGGAUAACUUCAGGAAACUGGGGCUAAUACCGGAUAGGAGCUCCUGCUGCAUGGUGGGGGUUGGAAAGUUUCGGCGGUUGGGGAUGGACUCGCGGCUUAUCAGCUUGUUGGUGGGGUAGUGGCUUACCAAGGCUUUGACGGGUAGCCGGCCUGAGAGGGUGGCCGGGCACAUUGGGACUGAGGUACGGCCCAGACGCCCACCGGAGGCAGCAGUGGGGAAUAUUGCACAGUGGGCGGAAGCCUGAUGCAGCGACGCCGCGUGCGGGAUGACGGCCUUCGGGUUGUAAACCGCUUUCGCCGGUGACGAAGCGUGAGUGACGGUAAUGGGUAAAGAAGCACCGGCUAACUACGUG
RNAcentral lists this ribosomal RNA (468 nucleotides) under uncultured bacterium. Its description in RNAcentral is "partial 16S ribosomal RNA". It matches the Rfam family "Bacterial small subunit ribosomal RNA", at positions 28 to 507 of the family's 1533-position model. The record is from RNAcentral.